GAUCCUGGCUCAGGAUGAACGCUAGCGGCAGGCCUAACACAUGCAAGUCGAGGGGCAGCACGGUGUAGCAAUACACUGGUGGCGACCGGCGCACGGGUGCGUAACGCGUAUGCAACCUACCCAUAACAGGGGGAUAACACUGAGAAAUUGGUACUAAUACCCCACUAACAAUCAGGACCGGGCCGAUCGGUUCUGGUUUGGAAAAACUAACCCGGUCGGGUUAUUGGAUGGGCGAUGCGUUGUAUUUAGCUGGUUGGGUUGG
RNAcentral lists this ribosomal RNA (262 nucleotides) under uncultured bacterium. RNAcentral's name for it is "partial 16S ribosomal RNA". It matches the Rfam family "Bacterial small subunit ribosomal RNA", at positions 15 to 257 of the family's 1533-position model. The record is from RNAcentral.